This 155-nucleotide ribosomal RNA is filed under the name Desulfobacteraceae bacterium. Its description in RNAcentral is "partial 16S ribosomal RNA". It matches the Rfam family "Bacterial small subunit ribosomal RNA", at positions 1 to 155 of the family's 1533-position model. Lineage: Bacteria; Pseudomonadati; Thermodesulfobacteriota; Desulfobacteria; Desulfobacterales; Desulfobacteraceae. The record is from RNAcentral.
AAACUGGAGAGUUUGAUCCUGGCUCAGAACGAACGCUGGCGGCGUGCCUAACACAUGCAAGUCGAACGAGAAAGGGACUUCGGUCCUGAGUAGAGUGGCGCACGGGUGAGUAACACGUGGAUAACCUACCCUAAAGUCCGGGAUAACAUUUCGAA